UACAGAGGGGGCUAGCGUUAUUCGGAAUUAUUGGGCGUAAAGGGCGCGUAGGCGGCCAUGCGUGUCUUCCGUGAAAUCCCUCGGCUUAACUGAGGACGUGCGGAAGAAACUGCAAGGCUCGAGUCCGGGAGAGGGGGGUGGAAUUCCUGGUGUAGCGGUGAAAUGCGCAGAUAUCAGGAAGAACACCCGUGGCGAAGGCGGCUCUCUGGGACGGUACUGACGCUGAGACGCGAAAGCGUGGGGAGCGAACAGG
RNAcentral lists this ribosomal RNA (253 nucleotides) under uncultured bacterium. RNAcentral's name for it is "partial 16S ribosomal RNA". It matches the Rfam family "Bacterial small subunit ribosomal RNA", at positions 524 to 776 of the family's 1533-position model. The record is from RNAcentral.